This 276-nucleotide ribosomal RNA is filed under the name uncultured Ehrlichia sp. RNAcentral describes it as "partial 16S ribosomal RNA". It matches the Rfam family "Bacterial small subunit ribosomal RNA", at positions 885 to 1157 of the family's 1533-position model. Lineage: Bacteria; Pseudomonadati; Pseudomonadota; Alphaproteobacteria; Rickettsiales; Anaplasmataceae. The record is from RNAcentral.
GUCGCAAGACUAAAACUCAAAGGAAUUGACGGGGACCCGCGCAAGCGGUGGAGCAUGUGGUUUAAUUCGAUGCUACGCGAAAAACCUUACCACUUUUUGACAUGAAGGUCGUAUCCCUCCUAACAGGGGGAGUCAGUUCGGCUGGACCUUACACAGGUGCUGCAUGGUUGUCGUCAGCUCGUGUCGUGAGAUGUUGGGUUAAGUCCCGCAACGAGCGCAACCCUCAUUCUUAGUUACCAACAGGUAAUGCUGGGCACUCUAAGGAAACUGCCAGUG